This 71-nucleotide transfer RNA is filed under the name Camelus bactrianus (Bactrian camel). It matches the Rfam family "tRNA". Rfam says of the family: Transfer RNA (tRNA) molecules are approximately 80 nucleotides in length. Their secondary structure includes four short double-helical elements and three loops (D, anti-codon, and T loops). The record is from Rfam by way of RNAcentral. RNAcentral also lists the same sequence under 1 other name. Lineage: Eukaryota; Metazoa; Chordata; Mammalia; Artiodactyla; Camelidae.
GAGGGUGUAGCUCAGGGGUAGAGCAUAUGCCUAGCACGCACAAGGUCCUGGGUUCAAUCCCCAGUCCCUCU